UGGGGAAUAUUGGACAAUGGGCGCAAGCCUGAUCCAGCAAUGCCGCGUGGAUGAAGAAGGUCUUCGGAUUGUAAAGUCCUUUCGGCGGGGACGAUGAUGACGGUACCCGCAGAAGAAGCCCCGGCUAACUUCGUGCCAGCAGCCGCGGUAAUACGAAGGGGGCUAGCGUUGCUCGGAAUGACUGGGCGUAAAGGGCGCGUAGGCGGUUUGGUUUGUUAGGUGUGAAAUUCCUGGGCUUAACCUGGGGGCUGCACUUAAUACGGCCAGGCUUGAGUGUGAAAGAGGGUCGUGGAAUUCCCAGUGUAGAGGUGAAAUUCGUAGAUAUUGGGAAGAACACCGGUGGCGAAGGCGGCGACCUGGUUCAUUACUGACGCUGAGGCGCGAAAGCGUGGGGAGCAAACAG
Molecule: ribosomal RNA, 403 nt
Filed under: uncultured bacterium
Lineage: Bacteria
Description: bacterial SSU rRNA
Rfam family: Bacterial small subunit ribosomal RNA
Source: RNAcentral